RNAcentral lists this ribosomal RNA (496 nucleotides) under uncultured bacterium. Its description in RNAcentral is "bacterial SSU rRNA". It matches the Rfam family "Bacterial small subunit ribosomal RNA", at positions 28 to 521 of the family's 1533-position model. The record is from RNAcentral.
GAUGAACGCUGGCGGCGUGCCUAACACAUGCAAGUCGAGCGAGAACCGCUGGAAUGACACUUCGGUAGAAUGAAAGCGGGGAAAGCGGCGGACGGGUGAGUAACGCGUAGGUAACCUGCCCCAUACACAGGGAUAGCCUAGGGAAACCUGGAUUAAUACCUGAUGAAGCAACUGGUCGCAUGACCGGCUGCCAAAGAUUUAUCGGUAUGGGAUGGACCUGCGUCUGAUUAGUGAGUUGGUGGGGUAAUGGCCUACCAAAAGCGACGAUCAGUAGCCGACCUGAGAGGGUGAUCGGCCACAUUGGAACUGAGACACGGUCCAAACUCCUGCGGGAGGCAGCAGUGGGGGAUAAUUGCACAAUGGGCGGAAGCCUGAUGCAGCAACGCCGCGUGAGCGAAGAAGGUCUUCGGAUCGUAAAGCUCUGUCCUGGGGGAAGAAACAAAUGACGGUACCCCGGGAGGAACGCCCCGGCUAACUACGUGCCAGCAGCCGCGGU